Molecule: small RNA, 816 nt
Filed under: uncultured Helotiales
Lineage: Eukaryota; Fungi; Ascomycota; Leotiomycetes; Helotiales
Description: eukaryotic LSU rRNA
Rfam family: Eukaryotic large subunit ribosomal RNA (bases 553-816)
Source: RNAcentral
AAGUCGUAACAAGGUUUCCGUAGGUGAACCUGCGGAAGGAUCAUUACUGAAAGGGGACUCCGGUCCCCGGGACAAGCCCCCGUCGAGCCCUUGGGCUCCCCGGGCGGUGACACCCCUUACCCUUUGUUUACCUUACCUCUGUUGCUUUGGCAAGGCCCCUGCCCGGGUGGUUCCAGGCUUGGGCUCUGCCAGAGGGCCCCAACUCGUGGAUAGUUUUUGUUUGUCUGAGUACGAUAUAAUCGUUUACAACUUUUAACAAUGGAUCUCUUGGCUCUGGCAUCGAUGAAGAACGCAGCGAAACGCGAUAUGUAAUGUGAAUUGCAGACUUUAGUGAAUCAUCGAAUCUUUGAACGCACAUUGCGCCCUGUGGUAUUCCGCAGGGCAUACCUGUUCGAGCGUCAUUACAACCUCUCCAGCUCCGCUGGGUCUUGGGGCUUGCCUUCCCGGGCAUCCCUUAAAACUAGAUGCGGCGCCGCGUGGCUCUAAGCGUAGUACUUUUCUCGCUUCUGGGUCCGCUGUGGUGCCUGCUACCAAACCCCAACUUUCUAUGGUUGACCUCGAAUCAGGUAGGGAUACCCGCUGAACUUAAGCAUAUCAAUAAGCGGAGGAAAAGAAACCAACAGGGAUUGCCCUAGUAACGGCGAGUGAAGCGGCAACAGCUCAAAUUUGAAAUCUGGCUCCUUCGGGGUCCGAGUUGUAAUUUGCAGAAGAUGCUUCUGGUGUGGCCCCGGUCUAAGUCCCUUGGCACAGGACGUCAUAGAGGGUGAGAACCCCGUAUGUGACCGGUGGCCUAUGCCUCUGUGAAGCUCUUUCAAC